This 45-nucleotide non-coding RNA is filed under the name Schistosoma haematobium. Lineage: Eukaryota; Metazoa; Platyhelminthes; Trematoda; Strigeidida; Schistosomatidae. The record is from RNAcentral. RNAcentral also lists the same sequence under 1 other name.
AUCCAGAUGACGAGUCCCAAAUAGGACGAAACGCGCGUCCUCAAU